RNAcentral lists this ribosomal RNA (137 nucleotides) under uncultured bacterium. Its description in RNAcentral is "partial 16S ribosomal RNA". It matches the Rfam family "Bacterial small subunit ribosomal RNA", at positions 355 to 509 of the family's 1533-position model. The record is from RNAcentral.
UGGGGAAUAUUGCACAAUGGGGGAAACCCUGAUGCAGCGACGCCGCGUGAGUGAAGAAGUAAUUCGUUACGUAAAGCUCUAUCAGCAGGGAAGAGAAUGACGGUACCUGAGUAAGAAGCCCCGGCUAACUACGUGCC